AUUGAACGCUAGCGGGAUGCUUUACACAUGCACGUCGAACGAGUGGCGGACGGGUGAGUAAUACAUCGGAACGUGCCCAGUAGCGGGGGAUAACUACUCGAAAGAGUAGCUAAUACCGCACACUAUUGGAGCGGCCGCUAUCGGAUUAGCUAGUUGGUGGGGUAAAGGCUCACCAAGGCCACGAUCCAUAGCUGGUUUGAGAGGAUGACCAGCCAAACUGGGACUGAGACACGGCCCAGACUCCUACGGUAGGCAGCAGGGGGGAAUUUUGGACAAUGGGGGAAACCCUGAUCCAGCCAUCCCGCGUGUAUGAGAAGGCCUUCGGGUUGUAAAGUACUUUUGGCAGAGAAGCGGUAUCUGCAGAAUAAGCACCGGCUAACUACGUGCCAGCAGCCGCGGUAAUUC
This 405-nucleotide ribosomal RNA is filed under the name uncultured bacterium. Its description in RNAcentral is "partial 16S ribosomal RNA". It matches the Rfam family "Bacterial small subunit ribosomal RNA", at positions 30 to 526 of the family's 1533-position model. The record is from RNAcentral.